GUAGGGGACGAGCGUUGUCCGGAUUUAUUGGGCGUAAAGCGCGCGUAGGCGGCCCGGAAAGUCGGUUGUGAAAACCCGGGGCUCAACCCCGGGCCUGCAUCCGAAACUUCCGGGCUGGAGGUAGGUAGGGGAGAUCGGAAUUCCUGGUGUAGCGGUGAAAUGCGCAGAUAUCAGGAGGAACACCGGUGGCGAAGGCGGAUCUCUGGGCCUUACCUGACGCUGAGGCGCGAAAGCUAGGGGAGCGAACAGGAUUAGAUACCCUGGUAGUCCUAGCCGUAAACGUUGGGUGCUAGGUGUGGGUGGACAUCGACCCCAUCCGUGCCGAAGCUAACGCAUUAAGCACCCCGCCUGGGGAGUACGGCCGCAAGGCUA
RNAcentral lists this ribosomal RNA (372 nucleotides) under uncultured bacterium. Its description in RNAcentral is "bacterial SSU rRNA". It matches the Rfam family "Bacterial small subunit ribosomal RNA", at positions 527 to 896 of the family's 1533-position model. The record is from RNAcentral.